UUGGUUUCAUUCCUCGUGAACUAGUUAACGCACAUGGGGAGUCCUAUUGCCUUCUGUUAAAAGUUUGCAACCAGGGAGAGAAGGUAUCCAUGGAAGUGUCCUUCUCCAGCAAUAACUGGCCACGGCGGAACUUUCCUUAUAAAGCUAAAUCACAGCCGUUAUUAUUUCAAAGAAAAUAUUAUUUUAUCUUUAUUUAUUACACCGGCACGUGGCUUCUCACCACGCUAUCUCUCUCUUUUUUUUUACAAUUAAAAUUAAAUAUUAUGUUAUAUUUCAUCAUCACACGUGCUCUCUUCCUUAUCUUCGCCGGAAUUUCCUCUCCUUUCUCUUCUCUUCUCUCUGCUCCUUUUUCUUUGCUUCCCUUUCCGUCUGCUUCCUUCACCACCAGAGCCAAACCCUAACUAAUUCUUCCUUCGGUUUCUUCCAUCGCUUUCUUUCUGCACAAACAAACGCCGCUGGAAAGCAACCGCCCCUCCUCUUUACUUCUCUCUCCAGCUUCUUCUUCUUCUUCUUCUUCUUCUUCUUUUGGGUUUUGUUUAUGCGAUAGUUUUGAUUGGCAUUUUGAAAUUUUGUGGUGAUUCGGGGAUGGGGGCGGUGACGUCAACUAUGGCGGCAAAAUUUGCGUUUUUUCCGCCGACUCCGCCGUCUUACCAGGUGGUGAUGGAUGAGGCCAGUGGGAAGCUGAUGAUGAUGGACGUGGGGACAAGGGAAAAUGUCGACGUUUUGAAGCUGGAUACCAAGAGAGGGAAUCGGGUGGUGGCGGUGUAUAUUAAGAACCCUGCGGCUUCUUUGACUGUUCUUUACUCCCAUGGCAACGCUGCCGAUCUGGGGCAGAUGUUUGAUUUGUUUAAUGAGCUCAGCUUGCAUCUUCGGGUCAACUUGAUGGGGUAUGAUUAUAGUGGAUAUGGACAGUCCAGUGGAAAGCCAACUGAGCAGAAUACUUAUGCGGACAUAGAAGCUGCAUAUAGGUGCCUCGAAGAGAGAUAUGGAGUGAAGGAAGAAGAUAUCAUCCUAUAUGGACAAUCAGUUGGAAGUGGACCUACUCUAGACUUAGCAACCCGAUUAAUGAACUUGAGAGCUGUGGUCCUGCAUAGCCCAAUUGCAUCUGGCCUUCGAGUAAUUUAUCCUGUGAAGCGAACAUAUUGGUUUGAUAUAUAUAAGAACGUUGAUAAAAUACCAAUGGUCAAUUGUCCAGUAUUGGUAAUCCAUGGAACUGCUGAUGAUGUUGUAGAUUGGUCCCAUGGUAAGCAGCUUUGGGAUCUUUGUAAAGAGAAAUAUGAACCAUUAUGGGUGAAGGGAGGAAAUCAUUGUGACUUGGAGCUAUACCCACAAUACAUCAAACACCUCAAGAAGUUCGUAUCAGCCAUUGAGAGAUCACCAAAUCUUAGAAAUGGAACUGGGCCAGUCACAGAUCAAUUGGAGAAUCCCCGGAAAAGCACGGAUUGUAGAGAGACCUGUGGACCAAACAUGGACCAAAAAGGGAAUUUUAGACAGAUUAUUGAGCAAAGAGAAAAGCCCAGGAUAAGCACAGACUGUAGAGAGAAAUCAAGAACCAGCACUGAUAGGAGAGAGAAAUCAAGAAAGAGUGUGGACCGCCCUGAGAAAGAGAAUCAUGUAUCAGAUCAGCCUGAGAAAGCAAGGAACAGCAUUGAUCGCUUUGGAGGCAUGAUAAGAUCAGUCGGAUUAUGCAAUAUUGAUUGUUUCAAACCUGCCACAAAAGCUCUCUGAAGAAAAAGAAGAGUAAAUCCAAGGAUUCACCUAUUCAGGAACAAAUCUUGGCAGUUUCAGUAUGCAAAAUCUUGAAAAGCUUCCCUUUAUUUAUUUAUUUUUUAUUGAGAGAGGAUGGAGGAGGAUGCAGGAGGUUGAACCCCAAACAUAUUACCUCAUCAUGCAGUCGGCAAGCAGCUUCUCUUUUCAACAUCUUUUGAAAGGAAUUUUUGUUAGACUUCACAUUCUCCAGCACCCCUUACCAAGGCAACUUUUUGUCUCUGGAGUGAUAUUCGCUAGUUUUAUACACAUGGUGUCUGGAUCCAUUAUCAUAGAAAAAGAGGACUGGGAUUAUUUUGACCAAAUUGAAGUGAAGAUGUGUCAAGUCUACGGAAGGACCGGUUCAAGUUGUCGAGAAGCAAGGCUUACGGGGCCGAAAUGGCUCUAGGCUUUUUGAGGUUAAACAGGGCGUUCUGCGAGCAUGAUUUCUUGAUCUUUACUGCCUGAAUUUCUUCUUGUAUGUCUCUGAUUGAUGACCAUCCAUUUCCUUUGUUAAUCUGAAGAUGCUAGAAUCAUGACUUCUUCUGAUGCGCCCGUACAGUUUUGAGGAUUUCCAUUUCAUAUUGGUUUUUAUAAUCCUUCUGUUGAGAAAUGCGAUGAUCCCCAUGGCCUAUUUCGUAUGUUUUUGUUGAUAAAUGUAAAGGUGAAUUUGAAUAUAUUUUUACUUGGUGUGUAAUAGUUGUGAAGCACACUUCAGUAACAAAAACAAUGAAUUGGCUUUCUGGAUGUACAAGAAUGAUGCAAAGCCACUAGAAAGCAGGGGAACUCGCUGAAAUUACUGAUUGAAUGUAUUUCAUUGAAUGCUAAAUGGCGUCUUCAUUCUCUUUCCAAGUUUA
RNA transcript from Hevea brasiliensis (rubber tree), 2603 nucleotides. RefSeq lists it as uncharacterized. The transcript has 8 exons. The record is from RefSeq and is a predicted model, not a curated record. Lineage: Eukaryota; Viridiplantae; Streptophyta; Magnoliopsida; Malpighiales; Euphorbiaceae.